RNAcentral lists this ribosomal RNA (490 nucleotides) under uncultured bacterium. RNAcentral describes it as "bacterial SSU rRNA". It matches the Rfam family "Bacterial small subunit ribosomal RNA", at positions 28 to 507 of the family's 1533-position model. The record is from RNAcentral.
GACGAACGCUAGCUACAGGCUUAACACAUGCAAGUCGAGGGGCAGCGGGAUUGGAGCUUGCUUCAAUCGCCGGCGACCGGCGCACGGGUGAGUAACGCGUAUCCAACCUUCCGUUUACUCAGGGAUAGCCUUUCGAAAGAAAGAUUAAUACCUGAUGGUAUCUUAAUGACACAUGUAAUUAAGAUUAAAGAUUUAUCGGUAAACGAUGGGGAUGCGUUCCAUUAGGUAGUAGGCGGGGUAACGGCCCACCUAGCCAACGAUGGAUAGGGGUUCUGAGAGGAAGGUCCCCCACAUUGGAACUGAGACACGGUCCAAACUCCUACGGGAGGCAGCAGUGAGGAAUAUUGGUCAAUGGGCGAGAGCCUGAACCAGCCAAGUAGCGUGAAGGAUGAAGGUUCUAUGGAUUGUAAACUUCUUUUAUAAGGGAAUAACAGACGUUACGUGUAGCGUUUUGCAUGUACCUUAUGAAUAAGCAUCGGCUAACUCCGUG